GGAAGUUCUGUCUGCUCUCACUGCGUUGCAUUGCCAUGAUAAAGACGGACCAGGAAAAGUGAUUGCUAUCAUUUACUUUGUGUGUGAGUUUUCCUCAUCAGGAUGUGUGUUAGGAAAGAGUGUUCUACAUUUUAAACAUUGUGAAUUUUCGUGAUCUAUGAAGCAGACUUUCAGAUGUUUCAGAUGGUGCAGGGCAUGGUCGCUCAGUGGUUAACACUACAGCCCCACCACGCCAGGAACCCGAUUCGAU
Non-coding RNA from Chiloscyllium plagiosum (whitespotted bambooshark), 250 nucleotides. NCBI's taxonomy places the organism in Eukaryota, Metazoa, Chordata, Chondrichthyes, Orectolobiformes, Hemiscylliidae. The record is from RefSeq and is a predicted model, not a curated record.